UCGAGUGCGCGCCUGUAGCAAUACAGGUGGCGCACGGCGCACGGGUGCGUAACACGUGGGUAAUCUGCCCUUCGAUGGGGAAUAACCUCGCGAAAGCGAGGCUAAUUCCGCAUAACAUUCCGAGAACCUCGGUUUUUGGAUUCAAAGGCGUAAGUCGUCGGAGGAGGAGCCCGCGCACGAUUAGCUAGUUGGUAGGGUAAUGGCCUACCAAGGCUAUGAUCGUUAGCUGGUCUGAGAGGAUGGCCAGCCACACUGGAACUGAGACACGGUCCAGACUCCUACGGGAGGCAGCAGUGGGGAAUCUUGCACAAUGGGCGAAAGCCUGAUGCAGCGACGCCGCGUGGGGGAUGAAGCUUCUCGGAGUGUAAACCCCUUUCGACCCGGACGAAUGCCCCGCAAGGGGACUGACGGUACGGGUAUAAGAAGCCCCGGCUAACUACGUGCCAGCAGCCGCGGUAAGACGUAGGGGGCCAGCGUUGCUCGGAAUUACUGGGUGUAAAGGGUUCGUAGGCGGUGUAGCAAGUUGGGAGUGAAAUCUCUGGGCUCAACCCAGAGGCUGCUUCCAAAACUGCUGUGCUUGAGUGUGGGAGAGGCGCGUGGAAUUGCAGGUGUAGCGGUGAAAUGCGUAGAUAUCUGCAGGAACACCCGUGGCGAAAGCGGCGCGCUGGACCACUACUGACGCUGAGGAACGAAAGCUAGGGGAGCAAACAGGAUUAGAUACCCUGGUAGUCCUAGCCCUAAACGAUCAGGACUUGGGGUGCCACCCGUUCGGGUGUCGUCCCGGAGCUAACGCGUUAAGUCCUGCACCUGGGGAGUACGGUCGCAAGACUGAAACUCAAAGGAAUUGACGGGGGCCCGCACAAG
This 864-nucleotide ribosomal RNA is filed under the name uncultured soil bacterium. RNAcentral's name for it is "bacterial SSU rRNA". It matches the Rfam family "Bacterial small subunit ribosomal RNA", at positions 62 to 929 of the family's 1533-position model. The record is from RNAcentral.